CAUUGAUGAGUUUGGUAAAAAGAUUUGCGAUCUAUGAUCUGGAAAGGACAUGGAUAGUCUAGAUGAAGCCUUGUUGAAGUUGCUUGUGGACAACGUGGCAAGUUUUAUCCAAGUGCUUAGUCCAUUUGUGGAAAACGGGAUUGAAAGUUAUAUGUUGUGCAGCCCUGAUAUUGUAAUGAAGAAGAACAGGUAGCUUUAUCUACAUUUGAAACUCUUUUAAGAUGUAGCUAACCCAUUUCAAUUUACAUACAAUAGAAGUUAUGCUUAACUAUUCGACUUAUGUCGUGGAUUUGCUGACGGUAUUUUGUUUCUUCAUUUUUCAGGAUAUGAGUU
RNAcentral lists this long non-coding RNA (333 nucleotides) under Manihot esculenta (cassava). RNAcentral's name for it is "long non-coding RNA (MESC_LNC006756)". The record is from RNAcentral. Lineage: Eukaryota; Viridiplantae; Streptophyta; Magnoliopsida; Malpighiales; Euphorbiaceae.